AGAUUGAACGCUGGCGGCAGGCCUAACACAUGCAAGUCGAGCGGUAGAGAGGUGCUUGCACCUCUUGAGAGCGGCGGACGGGUGAGUAAUGCCUAGGAAUCUGCCUAGUGGUGGGGGAUAACGUUCGGAAACGGACGCUAAUACCGCAUACGUCCUACGGGAGAAAGCGGGGGACCUUCGGGCCUCGCGCCAUUAGAUGAGCCUAGGUCGGAUUAGCUAGUUGGUGAGGUAAUGGCUCACCAAGGCGACGAUCCGUAACUGGUCUGAGAGGAUGAUCAGUCACACUGGAACUGAGACACGGUCCAGACUCCUACGGGAGGCAGCAGUGGGGAAUAUUGGACAAUGGGCGAAAGCCUGAUCCAGCCAUGCCGCGUGUGUGAAGAAGGUCUUCGGAUUGUAAAGCACUUUAAGUUGGAGAAGGUUGUAACUUAAUACGUUGCAACUUUGACGUUACGACAGAAUAAGCACCGGCUAACUCGUGCCAGCAGCCGA
This 492-nucleotide ribosomal RNA is filed under the name uncultured soil bacterium. RNAcentral's name for it is "bacterial SSU rRNA". It matches the Rfam family "Bacterial small subunit ribosomal RNA", at positions 26 to 518 of the family's 1533-position model. The record is from RNAcentral.